AGCGAACGCUGGCGGCAGGCCUAACACAUGCAAAUCGAACGAACUCUUCGGAGUUAGUGGCGGACGGGUGAGUAACACGUGGGAACGUGCCUUUAGGUUCGGAAUAACUCAGGGAAACUUGUGCUAAUACCGAAUGUGCCCUUCGGGGGAAAGAUUUAUCGCCUUUAGAGCGGCCCGCGUCUGAUAGCUAGUUGGUGGGGUAAUGGCUCACCAAGGCCACGAUCAGUAGCUGGUCUGAGAGGAUGACCAGCCACAUUGGGACUGAGACACGGCCCAAACUCCUACGGGAGGCAGCAGUGGGGAAUCUUGCGCAAUGGGCGAAAGCCAGACGCAGCCAUGCCGCGUGGAUGAUGAAGGUCUUAGGAUUGUAAAAUCCUUUCACCGGUGAAGAUAAUGACUGUAGCCGGAGAAGAAGCCCCGGCUAACUUCGUGCCAGCCGCCGCAGUAA
This 448-nucleotide ribosomal RNA is filed under the name uncultured bacterium. Its description in RNAcentral is "partial 16S ribosomal RNA". It matches the Rfam family "Bacterial small subunit ribosomal RNA", at positions 29 to 523 of the family's 1533-position model. The record is from RNAcentral.